This is a long non-coding RNA of Ylistrum balloti, 404 nucleotides long. RefSeq lists it as uncharacterized. The record is from RefSeq and is a predicted model, not a curated record. The transcript has 2 exons. NCBI's taxonomy places the organism in Eukaryota, Metazoa, Mollusca, Bivalvia, Pectinida, Pectinidae.
AUGGCGAUGCGAGGAUUAUUCUGCCGACAAGACGACUCUGAGACAAGGGGGAACGGAUUCGAGGACCAAAGGGCCAAUUUUAUGUGAUAACAAACAAGAACUAUGAAUAUUGCAAAAACACGAUGGAAGCCAUCAAGAAGAUAUGAUGUGACAACAAAUUAAUAGGACCAGAAAGAGAUCAAAACAAAAUUUGAAAGACAAAAGGUUUGAAGAGACACCACAGGGAAAGGAAAAAGUAGACCAAAAGCAUCAGGAACAAACAGUCCAGUAGAGAGGCUAUAAGAAAGACGAUGACAACAAAACGAAAUGGAAGUAAACAAAAAACGUGUUGGGGAGACAAAACAAUUGUAGUAAGAAAGAAUUGUGAAGACAUCAAAUCAAAGAUAAAAUCAGAAAUUCAAUUA